GAUCAUGGCUCAGGAUGAACGCUGGCGGCGUGCCUAACACAUGCAAGUCGAGCGAAGCGGUUUUAAGGAAGUUUUCGGAUGGAAUUAAAACUGACUGAGCGGCGGACGGGUGAGUAACGCGUGGGUAACCUGCCUCAUACGAGGGGGAUAACAGUUAGAAAUGGCUGCUAAUACCGCAUAAGCACACAGCUUCGCAUGGAGCAGUGUAGAAAACGUCCGGUGGUAUGAGAGUCGGACCCGUCG
Molecule: ribosomal RNA, 243 nt
Filed under: uncultured bacterium
Lineage: Bacteria
Description: partial 16S ribosomal RNA
Rfam family: Bacterial small subunit ribosomal RNA
Source: RNAcentral